RNAcentral lists this long non-coding RNA (2299 nucleotides) under Canis lupus familiaris (dog). Its description in RNAcentral is "lncRNA (ENSCAFG00000056474.1, ENSCAFG00805002033.1, ENSCAFG00845006523.1)". Lineage: Eukaryota; Metazoa; Chordata; Mammalia; Carnivora; Canidae. The record is from RNAcentral.
UAUAUAUUUCAUUGCUAAAACCUAAGGUUUCUGUUCCAGUCAUUAGAAGUUGUGUCAUAGGAUUUAGAUUGUGCUGAUAUUUCUAGAAGAGUUAAUGAAGUAGAAUAUUUUUCAGAGAUGAAAAUAAAAAUUAAUGGAAAUUUUGCUUUUCAUUAGUCACAUCAGCAAAUCAAUGUUUUAUAUCAAGCUAUUAUGUAACAAGAUUCUAAAUUAUGUUCCCAAGAAUUUCUGUGUAAAAUAUUUCCAUAUGGCAAGAUCUGUAAAAUUCUGUAACACAUUCACAAAUCAUUGUGACAAGGAACACUGGUAUUAAUUUCUUAAAGUCAAUGUCAUUUUUCCAAUAUAAUUUUGUUAUUUUAUUUCCUUAUAUCUUGAAACUUAAGAAAAACUGCAUGCCUUCUUAGAAAAUAAAGUAUGUAAUCACCAACAUAAAUAAACAGAUUACAUAUAGUUCUCAUGUAUACAUUUUUGUAACCUAAGGUAAAGAUUCUAUUCUAUUCUAUAUUACAGCACUCAAUUAUUUCUCUUGUGGUAUUUAUCAUACUCUGUGUAUCUUUUGUAAUUUAUUUGUUGAUUUGGUCUUUGUUUGAUGCUCUAACUACAAAGUAAACUAGCUCGGGAAGACAAAAUCUCUCCAGGUGUUCUGAGCAGAAAGGGCUGUAAAUAAUAGAAUUUCAUGGUUACAAAAAUGUCAAAAGGAUAGAAGGAGAACAUUUAAAAUUUGCCACUAGUUUUGAGAAAGUCAAGAAAUUUCUGAAACUAUUGGUGAUAAUCAUAACUGCAUGAAUAGCUGAAACUAGUGAUUAUAGCAAUACCCAGAGCUGCUGAAAAAUCUCACAUCUGCUGAAGCCCGGACACCUGCCUAUGGAGUAAGAAUUUGGCUUCUAAUUUCCAAAUUUUGUGAGAAUGCAUCUCAUUGACAGAAUCUAAUCUGGGACCCUCCUGGCAAGGGGUUCUAGGAAAUGAGUUCUCAGGCUUCUAGCCCCUGUGAUAGUAGGUGGUGCGUAGAAGGAGUAAGUGUUGCUGGGCGGUCUGCAGAAAAUUCAGUACAAGCUCCAAAUGGGAAGGAGUCCUGCUGUUUUCUUUUACCCUUAUGGUAAAUGGUCUCAGGAUCCUUUGCACUCUUAAAACUUUUUGAGGAUAUCAAUGGGAACUUUUGUUUAUGUAGAUUAUAUCUAUCAAUAUUCAUCCUAAGGAAAAUUAAAAUUGUGAACAUUUAACAGUGCUAAUUUAUUAAUUCAUUCAAAAAUAACAAUAACAAAGUCUUACAUAUUAACUUAAAUAUAAUAUUUCUUAAGAAAAAUGACUGUGUUUUUCCAAAAUAAAACAAAAAAUAGUGGGAUACCUGCCUGGCACAGAUGGUAGAGCAUGCGACUCUUCAUUACGGGGUUAUGAAUUUGAGCUCCACUUUGGGCAAAGAGAUUACUUUAAAAAUUUUUUAAAUGGUGAGAAGAGUAGCAUCAUCUUUUUGAGAAUAUUAUUAAAUAUCUAGCAUAAUAGACCGUAGCUUCUCUAUCUUCUGUUAAGAUACUAAGUGCAAGAGAAAAAAAUACAAAUUACUUUUUAGUAUUGUCAUGGGAAUAGUUUGGCUCUUGAAGACCCCCUAGAAAUUUCUCAGGCUUUUCAUAGUCCCAAGACCCCACUUUGUUAACCACUGUAUAAUCAUAUCAUUAGCUACUUGCGUCAUUAUCUGACAGAUAAUAGAUAGCAAAAGAUAUUUGUUGAAUGAAUGAGUAAAAGGAAAUUGCAUUCUUGUAUUGUUCUUUUUCUAAUACAUGUAAGCAACAAUCUGUACGUGUUUUUAAAGGAUGACUUUCUCUUGCAUUCAUUUUGUCUUUCUUGUAGUUUUGUUGCUGGAAGACAGGGAGCAUGUGAAGCCACAUUUGAGAAGUGACAUAAUUUGACUCAUACCAGCCUAAGGCAAAAUUACAAAUUGAAUAAAGUAUUCAAUGCCCUUCACACCCCUCCAGUCCAUCCUUUGUCAUAGAAUCAGAAUAUCUUUACUGGACUAUUGUCCCUCACAAUGCUUGAGGCAGUUUUAUGAAGCUCUGCUUUCCAAAUUAGACAACAUGUACCUCUGAGGGGCAUUUGAUAGGGUGUCAGGAGUAUUUAAAGCCAUAAUAAAUGGAAGGAAUAAUUCUGGAAUACUGAUUUUCCUUGAAGUCUUCAGGAUAACAAUAUUUAAAUAACAAAUAAUAAACAAAGAUAUAUUAUGAAAUGCAUGAUAAAUUGGAUUAUCUCAAUUCUUCCCCUCUUUCUGCCACAUGACUCACAGAGAGGCACUGAUUUGGGGCUUGGC